AUAAUACUCCCUCCGUCCGGAAUUACUUGUCAUCAAAAUGGAUGUGUCUAGAACUAAAAUACAUCUAGAUACAUCCAUUUCAAUGACAAGUAUUUUCGAACGGAGGGAGUAGUAG
Triticum aestivum (bread wheat) is the source of this 115-nucleotide non-coding RNA. The record is from Rfam. NCBI's taxonomy places the organism in Eukaryota, Viridiplantae, Streptophyta, Magnoliopsida, Poales, Poaceae.